AUGCACGCUGGCGGCGUGCUUCACACAUGCAAGUCGCACGGGAAACCUUUUAAUGAAGCUUCGGCAGAUUUAGCUGGUUUCUAGUGGCGGACGGGUGAGUAACGCGUGGGUAACCUGCCUUAUACAGGGGGAUAACAGUCAGAAAUGACUGCUAAUACCGCAUAAGCGCACAGGACCGCAUGGUCCGGUGUGAAAAACUCCGGUGGUAUAAGAUGGACCCGCGUUGGAUUAGCUUGUUGGUGGGGUAACGGCUCACCAAGGCGACGAUCCAUAGCCGGCCUGAGAGGGUGAACGGCCACAUUGGGACUGAGACACGGCCCAGACUCCUACGGGAGGCAGCAGUGGGGAAUAUUGCACAAUGGGGGAAACCCUGAUGCAGCGACGCCGCGUGAAGGAAGAAGUAUCUCGGUAUGUAAACUUCUAUCAGCAGGGAAGAUAGUGACGGUACCUGACGAAGAAGCCCCGGCUAACUACGUG
This 477-nucleotide ribosomal RNA is filed under the name uncultured bacterium. Its description in RNAcentral is "partial 16S ribosomal RNA". It matches the Rfam family "Bacterial small subunit ribosomal RNA", at positions 29 to 507 of the family's 1533-position model. The record is from RNAcentral.